AAUGCAGUCGAGCGAACAGAUAAGGAGCUUGCUCCUUUGACGUUAGCGGCGGACGGGUGAGUAACACGUGGGUAACCUACCUAUAAGACUGGAAUAACUCCGGGAAACCGGGGCUAAUGCCGGAUAACAUAUAGAACCGCAUGGUUCUAUAGUGAAAGAUGGUUUUGCUAUCACUUAUAGAUGGACCCGCGCCGUAUUAGCUAGUUGGUAAGGUAAUGGCUUACCAAGGCGACGAUACGUAGCCGACCUGAGAGGGUGAUCGGCCACACUGGAACUGAGACACGGUCCAGACUCCUACGGGAGGCAGCAGUAGGGAAUCUUCCGCAAUGGGCGAAAGCCUGACGGAGCAACGCCGCGUGAGUGAUGAAGGGUUUCGGCUCGUAAAACUCUGUUAUUAGGGAAGAACAUAUGUGUAAGUAACUGUGCACAUCUUGACGGUACCUAAUCAGAAAGCCACGGCUAACUACGUGCCAGCAGCCGCGGUAAUACGUAGGUGGCAAGCGUUAUCCGGAAUUAUUGGGCGUAAAGCGCGCGUAGGCGGUUUCUUAAGUCUGAUGUGAAAGCCCACGGCUCAACCGUGGAGGGUCAUUGGAAACUGGGAAACUUGAGUGCAGAAGAGGAAAGUGGAAUUCCAUGUGUAGCGGUGAAAUGCGCAGAGAUAUGGAGGAACACCAGUGGCGAAGGCGACUUUCUGGUCUGUAACUGACGCUGAUGUGCGAAAGCGUGGGGAUCAAACAGGAUUAGAUACCCUGGUAGUCCACGCCGUAAACGAUGAGUGCUAAGUGUUAGGGGGUUUCCGCCCCUUAGUGCUGCAGCUAACGCAUUAAGCACUCCGCCUGGGGAGUACGACCGCAAGGG
Molecule: ribosomal RNA, 858 nt
Filed under: Staphylococcus gallinarum
Lineage: Bacteria; Bacillati; Bacillota; Bacilli; Caryophanales; Staphylococcaceae
Description: bacterial SSU rRNA
Rfam family: Bacterial small subunit ribosomal RNA
Source: RNAcentral